This 463-nucleotide ribosomal RNA is filed under the name uncultured bacterium. RNAcentral describes it as "bacterial SSU rRNA". It matches the Rfam family "Bacterial small subunit ribosomal RNA", at positions 33 to 507 of the family's 1533-position model. The record is from RNAcentral.
GACGACGCUGGCGGCGUGCCUAACACAUGCAAGUCGAGCGAAUGAAGUUCCUUUGGGAAUGGAUUUAGCGGCGGACGGGUGAGUAACACGUGGGUAACCUGCCUCAUAGAGGGGAAUAGCCUUCCGAAAGGGAGAUUAAUACCGCAUAAGAUUGUAGUACCGCAUGAUACAGCAAUUAAAGGAGCAAUCCGCUAUGAGAUGGGCCCGCGGCGCAUUAGCUAGUUGGUGAGGUAACGGCUCACCAAGGCGACGAUGCGUAGCCGACCUGAGAGGGUGAUCGGCCACAUUGGGACUGAGACACGGCCCAGACUCCUACGGGAGGCAGCAGUGGGGAAUAUUGCACAAUGGGGGAAACCCUGAUGCAGCAACGCCGCGUGAGUGAUGACGGCCUUCGGGUUGUAAAGCUCUGUCUUCAGGGACGAUAAUGACGGUACCUGAGGAGGAAGCCACGGCUAACUACGUG